This 1528-nucleotide ribosomal RNA is filed under the name Klebsiella aerogenes. RNAcentral describes it as "bacterial SSU rRNA". It matches the Rfam family "Bacterial small subunit ribosomal RNA". The record is from RNAcentral. RNAcentral also lists the same sequence under 1 other name. Lineage: Bacteria; Pseudomonadati; Pseudomonadota; Gammaproteobacteria; Enterobacterales; Enterobacteriaceae.
AGAGUUUGAUCAUGGCUCAGAUUGAACGCUGGCGGCAGGCCUAACACAUGCAAGUCGAGCGGUAGCACAGAGAGCUUGCUCUCGGGUGACGAGCGGCGGACGGGUGAGUAAUGUCUGGGAAACUGCCUGAUGGAGGGGGAUAACUACUGGAAACGGUAGCUAAUACCGCAUAACGUCGCAAGACCAAAGUGGGGGACCUUCGGGCCUCAUGCCAUCAGAUGUGCCCAGAUGGGAUUAGCUAGUAGGUGGGGUAAUGGCUCACCUAGGCGACGAUCCCUAGCUGGUCUGAGAGGAUGACCAGCCACACUGGAACUGAGACACGGUCCAGACUCCUACGGGAGGCAGCAGUGGGGAAUAUUGCACAAUGGGCGCAAGCCUGAUGCAGCCAUGCCGCGUGUAUGAAGAAGGCCUUCGGGUUGUAAAGUACUUUCAGCGAGGAGGAAGGCGUUAAGGUUAAUAACCUUGGUGAUUGACGUUACUCGCAGAAGAAGCACCGGCUAACUCCGUGCCAGCAGCCGCGGUAAUACGGAGGGUGCAAGCGUUAAUCGGAAUUACUGGGCGUAAAGCGCACGCAGGCGGUCUGUCAAGUCGGAUGUGAAAUCCCCGGGCUCAACCUGGGAACUGCAUUCGAAACUGGCAGGCUAGAGUCUUGUAGAGGGGGGUAGAAUUCCAGGUGUAGCGGUGAAAUGCGUAGAGAUCUGGAGGAAUACCGGUGGCGAAGGCGGCCCCCUGGACAAAGACUGACGCUCAGGUGCGAAAGCGUGGGGAGCAAACAGGAUUAGAUACCCUGGUAGUCCACGCCGUAAACGAUGUCGACUUGGAGGUUGUGCCCUUGAGGCGUGGCUUCCGGAGCUAACGCGUUAAGUCGACCGCCUGGGGAGUACGGCCGCAAGGUUAAAACUCAAAUGAAUUGACGGGGGCCCGCACAAGCGGUGGAGCAUGUGGUUUAAUUCGAUGCAACGCGAAGAACCUUACCUACUCUUGACAUCCAGAGAACUUAGCAGAGAUGCUUUGGUGCCUUCGGGAACUCUGAGACAGGUGCUGCAUGGCUGUCGUCAGCUCGUGUUGUGAAAUGUUGGGUUAAGUCCCGCAACGAGCGCAACCCUUAUCCUUUGUUGCCAGCGGUCCGGCCGGGAACUCAAAGGAGACUGCCAGUGAUAAACUGGAGGAAGGUGGGGAUGACGUCAAGUCAUCAUGGCCCUUACGAGUAGGGCUACACACGUGCUACAAUGGCAUAUACAAAGAGAAGCGACCUCGCGAGAGCAAGCGGACCUCAUAAAGUAUGUCGUAGUCCGGAUUGGAGUCUGCAACUCGACUCCAUGAAGUCGGAAUCGCUAGUAAUCGUAGAUCAGAAUGCUACGGUGAAUACGUUCCCGGGCCUUGUACACACCGCCCGUCACACCAUGGGAGUGGGUUGCAAAAGAAGUAGGUAGCUUAACCUUCGGGAGGGCGCUUACCACUUUGUGAUUCAUGACUGGGGUGAAGUCGUAACAAGGUAACCGUAGGGGAACCUGCGGUUGGAUCACCU